AUAGAAUUUUAUAUUGAAAAGAUUAAGUAGUUAACACUGAAUACUUUUCAAUAUUUGGUUGGGAGAACUGUUAAAUUUAAUAAAUUUUAUAUUUAUAUAAACUUUAAUUAAAGAAAAAAUAAUGAUCUUCAAUUUGAAAUCAAUAGAAUAAAUUACCUUAGGGAUAACAGCGUAAUAUUUUUUUAUAGACCUUAUAGAAAAAAAUGGUUGCGACCUCGAUGUUGAAUUAAGAUAAAUUUUAAAUGCAGGAGUUUAAUAAUUAAGUCUGU
This 269-nucleotide ribosomal RNA is filed under the name Lepidotrigona terminata. RNAcentral's name for it is "partial large subunit ribosomal RNA". The record is from RNAcentral. Lineage: Eukaryota; Metazoa; Arthropoda; Insecta; Hymenoptera; Apidae.